This 333-nucleotide unclassified non-coding RNA is filed under the name Hevea brasiliensis (rubber tree). Lineage: Eukaryota; Viridiplantae; Streptophyta; Magnoliopsida; Malpighiales; Euphorbiaceae. The record is from RNAcentral.
GUCCACCUUGAAGUGAGCAUGGAAGAACCUUUUAUCCUCCUUGAAAGAAUGCGAUAUCAGAAAGUCCUUCAGCAGUCUCUCUUCUGAAUCAAACAAUACAAUGUGACUUGGGACUGUCCAAUUUUUAGCAAAUUCUGUUGCAAAGUCAAGUGGAUUUGUUAAGAAACGGUCCGACUCGACUGGGAUUCCUUUCUCUUCGCUCGGUGUGCAGUCCAGAAACUGCAUUGGUAAGUUUUGGUGCAGAGUGGAAUAGUAAGGCGUCGAAUGGCAGGGCAUCAGAAAAAGGAUCCUUUUGACUUUCUCAGUCACAGCUUCUCUAGCCAGAUGAUUCAU